UACGAGGGGAGCAAGCGUUAUCCACAUUAACUGGGCGUAAAGGGCACGUAGGUCGUUUAUGAUAUGUGUGCUGUUAAAUCUUGUGAUGAAAUCAUAAACCGCAGCAUAGACGAGUAAGCUAGAGUGACGCUUAGGUCGUGGGACUGUUAGCUGAAGGGGUAAAAUCCAGAUAUAGCUAAAAAUACAUCAUAUGGGGCGAAAGCACAUUUCUGAAGUUCACUGACACUGAGGUGCGAGAGCGUGGGGAGCAAACGGG
Molecule: ribosomal RNA, 256 nt
Filed under: uncultured bacterium
Lineage: Bacteria
Description: partial 16S ribosomal RNA
Rfam family: Bacterial small subunit ribosomal RNA
Source: RNAcentral